GACGAACGCGGCGGCGUGCUUAACACAUGCAAGUCGAACGAAGAGCGAUGGAAGCUUGCUUCUAUCAAUCUUAGUGGCGAACGGGUGAGUAACGCGUAAUCAACCUGCCCUUCAGAGGGGGACAACAGUUGGAAACGACUGCUAAUACCGCAUACGAUCUAAUCUCGGCAUCGAGGAUGGAUGAAAGGUGGCCUCUACAUGUAAGCUAUCACUGAAGGAGGGGAUUGCGUCUGAUUAGCUAGUUGGAGGGGUAACGGCCCACCAAGGCGAUGAUCAGUAGCCGGUCUGAGAGGAUGAACGGCCACAUUGGGACUGAGACACGGCCCAGACUCCUACGGGAGGCAGCAGUGGGGAAUCUUCCGCAAUGGACGAAAGUCUGACGGAGCAACGCCGCGUGAGUGAUGACGGCCUUCGGGUUGUAAAGCUCUGUUAAUCGGGACGAAAGGCC
RNAcentral lists this ribosomal RNA (448 nucleotides) under Veillonella parvula. Its description in RNAcentral is "bacterial SSU rRNA". It matches the Rfam family "Bacterial small subunit ribosomal RNA", at positions 28 to 454 of the family's 1533-position model. Lineage: Bacteria; Bacillati; Bacillota; Negativicutes; Veillonellales; Veillonellaceae. The record is from RNAcentral.